CAGCGCGCGGCAGGCCAGGGAUAGGGAAAGCAUCCCAGCACCACUGCACGUGCGAAAGAAACGGAAGGCGAAAGCAUACAUUCACCGAUUGAAACUCCUUCCACGCCGAAGCACACAUCGGCGCAAACGCUUUGCCGGCGGACACUCUCUCUCUUUCACUGACCGGGAUGCGCAUCUCUGCGCAUGAGUGGACAGCGUAGCGUCAGCUCUGCCCUUCUCGUGCGCAUCUGCCUCUCCUAUUGCUGGCCGUUCACCGUCUUCCUUUCUCUGCGUUCUCACCCGCUUCCGCUUUUGCCAUUGACUGUGACGUGCAAGAGGCCGCUCCUCGUGACUGUUAUGUUGUGGGCUUAUAUGAGCUGGGGGCAUGUGUGAUGCUGAAGGAUUACUACGCUAUUCUCGAUGUACUGCCCCACGCCUCCGGCGAGGAGAUUCGCCGCGCCUUCAAGCGUCUGGCGCUCCAGUUCCAUCCGGACAAGGUGGGCGGUGGCGCGGCGACAGAGUUGACCUCCACAGUAGAUGCUGACAGGCACCGUGUCGCCGCAAAGAGAGAUGAGAAUGCAUCAGCCAACGCAAGCGUUGCGCGCUCAAAUGCAGCGGCGGCCUCGUGCCAGCCCCUCUCGAGGGACUUCACGGACAUUCAAGAGGCCUACGAAGUCCUGGGUGACGUUGCGCGGCGCUAUCUGUAUGACAUGAACUACCAAGAGCUGUUGGCCGUACAGCAGCAGCGUCAGCAGGAGGAGCGAAAGCGCUGCGACUCCCACGCACGGGCUGUGGCGGAGGCGGCUCGACAGGCCCGCGAGCGUGAGCGCUUGCAACAGCAGCAACAGAGCCCUCAACCGCGCAACAUCAACACAUUUUCCACAAUGGAAUCCAUCGCUGCCGGGGGCCUUCGCGCCAAUGCCCCUGGCUCCUCUCCGCCUCAGCACGGUGCACCCCAUACUCUCGGGCGAGGAGCGGAGGACAUCGGUGCCGCUUCGCCUACCCUGCCACCCGAUGAUGCGCCUCAGCGCAGGCAACCGUGUCAGAAGCUGGCGCCAGCAGAAAAAGAGAAGGAUGGUGACUGUUCGCUAAGAGACCUUGAGCGCGAUGCGGGUGGUGGCGGUGGUCUGUCGCAGGCUCGUUGCUGUUUCACCGCGCCGACCCGGCCACGCGAGGUCGGCAGCCGCCCCAAGGAGUGCCGAGCAAAGAGACACGGGUGCGAGCGCGAUACUAACGAGCGUCUCACCUCGAGCCACACGCAGAGACGCCUCAGCUGUGCUGACACCAAGCACGCACGACAGCACAUGGCAGCAACCGUGCCGGCUAUGUUUGUGCUGUCGAGUUCCUUGCCGUUCAGUUGGGGUGAGACGUCCGCGCAGACGUGCCCGUCUGUAGUCGAACCUAGCGGCUCACGUGGGAGGCAGUGGCACCGUCACACUGCGCCGCGCAACGACGGGGAGACUGAAGAGCCCGAGUUGCCGAUGGAGUACUACUAUCAGCGCUCUAUCGAACGAACUCUGCGCGUGUUUUUCAGCGUGCCUCAUGCAGAGUGAGACAUGGUUGUUUCUACGUUUCUUCUGUCUUUUCCUCCCUGCGCAUUUUCUGUGACACUGCUUGGCUUGUUUUUGCUUAAGCUGUGUUGUUGAGUCCUUCACAAGUGGGCAAUAUGGAUCGUGUGUGAGUAUGUGCGUGUGUUCUUGGGCGGGCACGUGAGUUAUCUCAUAUAUGUGUGUGCAUGUGCGUAUGAAUGCCCUAUAUAUAUAUAUAUACGGCUGUUUUGGUUUCCUUUUGCGUUUUCUUUUCUGCAUCACCGCUAGACCUGACAUCAUGUACUAUAGUCUUUUCUUUUGUUGCCUCUUUUCGGGCUUUGUUUGUACUGGGUGGAGCCCCCUCCCCCCCCGUACUUGCCUCCGUCUCCUUCCUUCACCUCUUUCCGGAUUUCCGAGAACACUCGGAAAUCCAGAAGCCCUGCUGCCGGGGCGGCAGCAGCAGCAGCAGCAGACACACUCUUCUCUGUUCUCCUUGCGCAUUGUGCGCACGCUCAUUUUUGUAUUUUCUCUGUGUGUGCGUGCGGUGGCACUCAUCCUUUUCCCACUGUGCUGCGCUUUGCGCUCGCCGGUGCUGUGGCGCCACAACACCGGCGAGCGCAGGGAGGCAAACGAGGCAACAAACAGAAUACGCAACUCGUCCCCGUCUUCUUGCUCAACUACAAGAAGAAUGCGCAACG
This 2206-nucleotide unclassified non-coding RNA is filed under the name Leishmania donovani. RNAcentral describes it as "gene:LdHU3.35.5310(CDS-product:chaperone_protein_ DNAj_putative)". The record is from RNAcentral. Lineage: Eukaryota; Euglenozoa; Kinetoplastea; Trypanosomatida; Trypanosomatidae.